Molecule: ribosomal RNA, 253 nt
Filed under: uncultured bacterium
Lineage: Bacteria
Description: partial 16S ribosomal RNA
Rfam family: Bacterial small subunit ribosomal RNA
Source: RNAcentral
UACAGAGGUCUCAAGCGUUGUUCGGAUUCAUUGGGCGUAAAGGGUGCGUAGGCGGCGGCGUAAGUCAGGUGUGAAAUCUCGGAGCUCAACUCCGAAACUGCACUUGAUACUGCGGUGCUCGAGUACUGGAGAGGAGAUUGGAAUUUACGGUGUAGCAGUGAAAUGCGUAGAUAUCGUAAGGAAGACCAGUGGCGAAGGCGGCCUUCUGGACCAGCACUGACACUCAAGCACGAAAGCGUGGGGAGCAAACAGG